AUGGCCCUGACUGAAGACCUGCAGUUACACUAUAGCUGCUGGUUUCAAACAGAGGCCCAGAGCACUGUCUUCCUGUGUGAUCUGUCGGUUGUUCUGUAACCUCAGCAGGGAAUGGCUGUUUCAUUUGGAAGAAACAACC
This is a small nucleolar RNA of Bison bison bison, 139 nucleotides long. Lineage: Eukaryota; Metazoa; Chordata; Mammalia; Artiodactyla; Bovidae. The record is from Ensembl.